Molecule: transfer RNA, 51 nt
Filed under: Aegilops markgrafii
Lineage: Eukaryota; Viridiplantae; Streptophyta; Magnoliopsida; Poales; Poaceae
Description: partial tRNA-Leu
Source: RNAcentral
GGAAAAUCCCUCGACUUUAUAAGUUGUGAGGGUUCAAGUCCCUCUAUCCCC